This is a non-coding RNA of Taeniopygia guttata (zebra finch), 662 nucleotides long. The record is from RefSeq and is a predicted model, not a curated record. Lineage: Eukaryota; Metazoa; Chordata; Aves; Passeriformes; Estrildidae.
GUUGCUGUUCCUUUUAAUCUCAUUUCAGAUGCAUCCAUCAGAUGGAAAUCUUGUUUACAAGAAAGCAAACCAAGAAGGAAGUGCCAAUGGAAUACCCUACCAAGGAUGGGUUGAACUCACGAAGAAUAUCUGUGGAAAGAGACAGCACCCUGAAAUAUUGUUUCCUGCAGCAGGUCUGUUCCAGCCAUGCUACAUGGUACUCUAGAUAUCCACUAGUUGGAGUAUUUUCUUUAUCACAAAUAAUAGUCCAGCCAUGUGCCAUCAUGCAAAAUGUGACAUCAAAGCCAAUUUCCACAAGCCUUCAUUGGCUACACAAACUGUAUCAAUCAAAACUGAAGAAAAUGGAUUCUCUCCCACUGAGGGGAAAAUUUCUGGGACUCACCUCCAAGAAAGACCUCGGUACUGAGUCAGGACAUCCAGAACAUCAUGGGGUCUGGAUCCUGCCCCAUUAGCUGCCUGGAGGAAGAAGAGGAGUUCACCUUCAGAAAAUAAGCAUUGCUACAGUAACUAGUUCUCUGACUCAUGCUAGUGAGAAUAAUUUAAAAGCAUAAUCAUGAAGCAAGCUACAUCAUCUUCUCAAAAUAGAACAGAUUCCUGUUCUCAAGAAGAUCAAAGGCUGAAGGUAUUUUAACUCCACUCCAGUGAAUUACCCUCUUCUAUCA